RNAcentral lists this ribosomal RNA (451 nucleotides) under uncultured bacterium. RNAcentral describes it as "bacterial SSU rRNA". It matches the Rfam family "Bacterial small subunit ribosomal RNA", at positions 354 to 796 of the family's 1533-position model. The record is from RNAcentral.
GUAGGGAAUCUUCCGCAAUGGGCGAAAGCCUGACGGAGCGACGCCGCGUGAGCGAAGAAGGCCUUCGGGUCGUAAAGCUCUGUUGUGAGGGGCGAAGGAGCGCCGUUCGAAGAGGGCGGCGCGGUGACGGUACCUCACGAGAAAGCCCCGGCUAACUACGUGCCAGCAGCCGCGGUAAUACGUAGGGGGCGAGCGUUGUCCGGAAUUAUUGGGCGUAAAGCGCGCGCAGGCGGUCUCUUAAGUCUGAUGUGAAAGCCCACGGCUCAACCGUGGAGGGUCAUUGGAAACUGGGGGACUUGAGGGCAGGAGAGGAGAGCGGAAUUCCACGUGUAGCGGUGAAAUGCGUAGAGAUGUGGAGGAACACCAGUGGCGAAGGCGGCUCUCUGGCCUGCACCUGACGCUGAGGCGCGAAAGCGUGGGGAGCAAACAGGAUUAGAAACCCUAGUAGUCC